CCCAUAUAUACUUUUGUAGAAGAAUCAUCGUGGUACAGCAAGUUUGUCAACUGGCAAUACAAUGAAGGUUGGCACCAAAGUAUACUUGCAGAGAUGGAAAAAUUGAAACAAGACUGUUGCAAUGGGUAAACUAGUGAGUUGUGAUCCAAAACAGAAACUUGAUGGUGUUCAGCUAGGCAAAGAAUUUUGGAUGGUUUCUGUUAGUUUUGUAAUGGUAGAAGAUGAACCAUUGAUACGACCAUACAAAAACUACAAGGUUCUUAGAGAUGUAGAAGGAGGAGCCCAUGUUGCAUGGCCUUCAACUUUUGUACGGUCUUUUCUAUAACCCAUUGAGAUUUCAAUUCUCAUGUGUGUCAUAUUAUUUAAUUUAAUUUUCAUUUGCAGAUUGAGAAGAUAGAUAUAUGAUCACAGCAGAGGAACACUUGACUGAGCUGAAGGAAGGAGAAAGGAGGACAACUAGCAUGGUAAGAGGGAUCUUUUAUAUGUUUCAUAUUUGCUCACAUAGUAACAUGUGCUCUGUACCAAAAAAAUGUGUCAUGAAUUUGGAUGGUACUUUGUAAUGCGACAAAUUAUUUAUAAUAAAUAUAUAUAUGGCUCAGUGUGCUUAUUUUUA
This is a long non-coding RNA of Panicum virgatum (switchgrass), 613 nucleotides long. RefSeq lists it as uncharacterized. The transcript is spliced from 2 exons. NCBI's taxonomy places the organism in Eukaryota, Viridiplantae, Streptophyta, Magnoliopsida, Poales, Poaceae. The record is from RefSeq and is a predicted model, not a curated record.